GAGUUGGUAUCUCAGUGGUAGAGUACAUGCUUCGUAUGUAAGAUGUCCUGGGUUCAAUCCCCAGCUUCUAACCCG
This 75-nucleotide transfer RNA is filed under the name Dallia pectoralis (Alaska blackfish). Its description in RNAcentral is "tRNA-Thr". The stretch from base 7 to 65 matches the Rfam family "tRNA", at positions 7 to 64 of the family's 71-position model. From Rfam's summary of the family: Transfer RNA (tRNA) molecules are approximately 80 nucleotides in length. Their secondary structure includes four short double-helical elements and three loops (D, anti-codon, and T loops). Lineage: Eukaryota; Metazoa; Chordata; Actinopteri; Esociformes; Umbridae. The record is from RNAcentral.